This 4370-nucleotide long non-coding RNA is filed under the name Marmota monax (woodchuck). Lineage: Eukaryota; Metazoa; Chordata; Mammalia; Rodentia; Sciuridae. The record is from RNAcentral.
CCUAUAUUUUGUUUGUCCCCUUGCCACAUUAGCUGAAUUCUUAGUUCUCAUUUAAUUUCAAUCUUUCUUAUUUUAGUAAUAGAAGGAUUUGACUUUAAAAUGUUUCUAAAUGAUACUGUAGUACUCUUAUUGUUUCUAAAUGUCUAGAUACUCUGAAAUUUCACCUGAGAAUUAUUAUAUCAUGGAAGAUUAAUUUUGAAGGGUACAUUGUUAAAGCUUGUAAGAAGUCCUGCUAUUUUUAUUGCUAUCUUUUGUUUCUAGUUUCUUGUGCAAUGUAGCCUUCAAAGGUAAGCUCUUAUUUCUUUUAGAAAUUAAGAUUUUUUCUUUAGGGCCAGUACAUGGUUUCUUUUUCUUCAUUCUUUUAUGUUUUAAGUGCUUAAAACGAUCUUUUAAAAAUAUACAAAGCACUGUUUAAAAAUAGAUUUUAUAUACCAUGCAGUAGGAGUAGCAACAAAAAUGAAAAAUACAUGAUUCUGCAUCUAAAUGAUUCAUAGAAAGUUAAACAGAUGUUUAACUCAGUAUAUCAUAGACUCCCUUUAUGUAAAACAAAGAUGGUAAAGUGUUUGGUCUAUACUAUUUUCUUUCCCAAACCUUUGCCUUGGCAGUAAUAUAUAACUUCAUGGUAUUGUUUUGUCUUCUACUUCUUUCAAAUAAAUAUUUGAUACACUGGAUUAUCUUAAAGCCAGUUGCCUUUUCUCAGAUGCUAAAUCUGUUCCCACUUAUUCACAUUCAUUUGAUUAUUUGAAUGUAUUUGAACAUUUUUAGUAAGGCAAAAAUGUAAUAAGUUAUAAAAUUAGAGUAAUUAAGAAUAGAAGCAGAAUCAACAAACAUAAAUAUGCAACCAGGAUUUCAAUAGCAAAUAAGCUACAGUCAGUAUAGUUGUACGUAAUUAGUUCCACAUUCAUUGAAUAUAAUUAGAAAAUGCUCCAGUACUUACUGAUUCAAGGAAAAAGUGGGACAGAUGAACUACCUUACAAUUUUUUGUCUUAGUAAACAGCUGUAAAUAGAAGGUAAAGGAUCCAUCAGAGAUCAUAAUUUAGAAUUUAAAAUGAAAAUGUAACAGUAAAUAUAAAAUGACAUAGAAAUUUAUGAGAUUAUGAGUAAGAAAAGAAAGAUUUAAAUAAAUGUGCCUAGUACAUAAAAGAAGUUCCUGUUAAUUCUACAUCCCACCAUAUUUUGUUACAGUCUAAUGUCUUUCAGAUUUGGUUGUCUGUAGACCAGGCCACCAGUAAAACAUAAGGUAUCGAAAGCACCAUAUUUGGUAUAAGUUUAUUUAUGAAUAUGUGUAAAGGAGCCUGAAAGAAUACUAACUAUAAUUAAACAAAAAUAUUUCAGUGCUCAGUGUUCUAAGAUACUCAUAGCCACAUUUUUUCAUACCCAGAUUUUUAUUCAUUACGUUUAAACUUUACAUGUUAAAUGACAUUGAUUUAGCCUCCCCCUCAUGAAGUAGAUUUAAUUUGAGCAAUUUUACUUACCUCUCUAGGCUCUGUUUAUUUACUUGUGAAAAUGAACACUGAAUUAGGAUCUAGAUGAUCUAAAAGUUUCUUUGAGUUACAAAAUCCUGAGUGUCACUGAUACUGUUGACUAUUGUAGGCAUUAUUUUAUGUACUUGAAAUUUCAUUUCACUUACUGUGCAUGUAUUAAAAACUGAAGAAUGAGAUUAUUUACCAUACUUAUAAGCAAACAGGUUAGUCUCCUAGGUACAGGCAACUUGGAUUAUCUUUACAUCAAGCAUCAUGUGCUUCUUGUUUUUGCUAGUAGUUCUUGACCCUCAAGUCUUAUAGGGAUAGUGUAGAGGCCCCAAGGUAGAUGCCAUGCAUGAAGGGAGAUUUUGUCACAGCAGAGAAGCCAGUGCUUAAGGAGGCUUUCUCUUAGGCUUGGAGGUUUUAGACCAUGGUUGGUCAGUCCGUUACUUUUGGGCUUAUUGUGAGCCAAUACAUCAUGGUGGAGUGCAGAGAGGAGGAAGCUGCUCACUUUGUGGCAGCUGGGAAGUGAAAGAGGAAGAAGCCGUGGUCCCACUAUCCCCCUCAAGGGCAUGAACCUCUGUGACCUAAUUUUUUUCCACUAGGAUCCACCUCUCGAUCUAGUUAAAGGCUGGUAUAUAGGUCUUUGGGGUACACGUAUCCAAACCCCAAUCAUUUUUAACAGACUGCUACCAUACCUACCCAAACUUUGCCCCAGAGAAACAAUGUUACUCAUUACACUGGACAAUAAACAAACCUGGUUUGUAUGCCUCUACUUUGCAGGGAGGGGACUAUUUUUAUUUUCCAAGACUAUCUUUGAAAGAUUAGUAAGAACUAAAGUUGUGAUUUGCCUCUGUUCACAAGAUGUGCAGAAAUGCAAGAGACUUAGACUGUUGUCUUCCUACAUCAUCACCUCAUCUCAAAAGUUAUUAUCCUCUAAUUCAUACAUAUACCUCUAUAGAUUAUUACUUUAGUGUAUACUAAUAUAGAACUGUUUUCAACUUUAAUAUUAAAUUUCAUUAAUUUUUAUUUUAUGGGCUUAUUGUACAGCUUCAAGUUGCUUAGUUUUUUUUCUUAUUUUAAAAUAUGUGUACAUUGAAAUAAACUUGUACUACAUAUAAACAUACAAGCAUUUAUAUGUUUGUACACAAACUAGUGGAUAUAUGCUAAUUUUUCUAACACUUUUUUUUAGAAAUUAACUCUCUUCUACUACAUACAUUCCAUAUGAGACUGAAAUACUUGGGCCCCUUGGAGCUCCAUGUGAUCCCCCCCAUCCCUUGAAAUCAUGAAUAUUGAAAUAACCCAGUCAUUAAAUAGCUAGCAGGAAAACAGUAAUAAUGUUGACACUGUAAGUAGAUUAUAUACUUAUGAAUCAUUCAACUGCCAUGAGAAUGGACCUCAUAGAAUUUCAAAACAAGAAGCUUAAUCAGCUUUGGACGCUAGCUGCUACACUCAGACAUCCAUCCUGCAUUUGCAUCAGCACUAUGCCUCCUACUGUUGCUCUAGCCAAUGUUAGCAUGUAACACAGACAUCAGGCAUACCCAUUCCUGGGAGUCACAGGACUCUGAUGACCAGCUUGAAUUGAGGAAUGCCCAUGGCCCUGCCCCAAACCUGUAUAUUACACAGCAACCUAGAAUGCUUCCUCCUAACCUUUUCCUUUUGUAUUUCCUUGUGGAUCACACCUAGACUAUGGCCUGAAAACUUACCUUCCAGGUCCCUUCAAAUUUUCUGUCAUAGAUAUUUUGGCUAAUAAAAUCCUUGCAUGUUUAAUUAUGCUUCUUAGAGGACCUUACAGACUAGUAAGACUAGUAACUGCUAGUAGGAUCUAGAUGUGAUGGUAAUAACUGUUUUGGCUUUCAUAUGGAAUAAGCCUAUUAAGAACCAGGAAAAUAGAGGACAAAAGAGCCAGAAAAAAAAAUUGAAGUUAACUGGUAAUAAUAGUAUUUAUUGAAUUUUUGUGAUCAAUCUGAAGCCUGAACCAUCUUGAUUUCAGUGGGUCAAAAACCAAAAAAAUCCUUUCCUCACCUUUAUGAGAGAAGAAACCAUGUAACUCCCUCCAUGAGAACAGAAGAGGUAUUAAUAAUGCCUCUGAAUCCCAGAACUGGGAGACUGCUGGUAAUAUAGUAAGCACUGAAUACCUAUUGAAUAAGUGAAAGUAUAAAUGCACCAAUUCUUCUUGUAGCCACUUUAAGGCUGAAUUAUUACAAAGGACAUCGUAGGACUAUGUAUACUCCUUUAGUCCAAGAGUUAAGUGGACAGACUAUUUGCCCUGUUCCCUUUGAAAUGAAGGCAAAGGGUCUGAGUAAACCACCCUUAGAUUCCAUGAUUAGAAAAGAGCUCUAAUCAUACUCUUAAGAUACUUGCCAAUAAUAUAUAACAUUUUGUUUUGUGUUUUUUUUUUUCAGAGCCAAAUUUGCUUGUUCCAUCAAAUUAACAUUUCUACCUGGACAGUCUCUGUUGGAGCAAACAAGAAUUUCACACACAUACACAAAACAUACAGUUAGCCCUUUCUCCAUAAUCUCACAUUUUGAUUUAGAAUUUUUCACAACAAAUAAAACCUAUUGGAACUUAAACAAGCAUUCAAGGAAGCAUGGACAUGAGAGUUGUUAUAAAAAUUUUGGUGUGUCAUAGAAAUUCUGGGACAAGAUUGUGACUUCUAAGAUUAUAAUUUCUAAGAUGAUAAGUUACUGGAAAGCAGUAAGAGCUUCUCAAUCACCCAUAGGCAUUCCUUGCAGUGAUUCUACAGGCCCAGCUCCAUGGAGACCGAUUCUUUGGUUCUCCAUCUCAAUUGAAAAUUCUCAGAAAAUCUGGGAUAGUUUAAGAAUAGUAUCUACCCAUGGUAUUACUAACAUGACUGCCUAACACCAGGAUUUUUGAAGGAGGAGUUAAGAGAAAUGUUCAACAAAA